Molecule: long non-coding RNA, 30658 nt
Filed under: Cucumis sativus (cucumber)
Lineage: Eukaryota; Viridiplantae; Streptophyta; Magnoliopsida; Cucurbitales; Cucurbitaceae
Description: long non-coding RNA (CSAT_LNC000415)
Source: RNAcentral
GGGGUUUCGGGUGGCGGAGAAGUGGGUAAUUUGGAGACGGGGUUGGGGAGGUAGUUGAGGAUUGUUAGGCCUGGAGGGGUUUUGGGAUCACGGCCGCGGAUACCGAGGGAAACCCAGUAGUUCUCCGAUGGUUUUUGGUCGGUGUUGAUGAGGACGGAGUAAGAUUCGCCGGAAUAAAUGUCGAUGUCGGAAGUUAGAAAUGGUUGAACGUAGUUGCCGUCGGCUUCUACCACUAAUAGUUUGUGCUUCUGAAGAAGAAAAAAGAAAUUACUAUACAAUUUUAAAAAUAAAUAAAUUCUGAAUAAUUAGCAAGUUGAAUUUGACGUUUUAGUUUUAAUACACAUAGUAAAAAGAGAGAGAUAGUUACGUACCCCGAUGGCAAAGUUGAGGGCAGAGAGUGAAGUGGUACUUGUAAUUCUAAUCCUAUAAAUCUUAUUGGGUUUGACUUCGAGGAUAAAAGGUGCACAUUGUUCACUUCCACUCAACUUACAUUGCUCCAUUUUCUUCAUGUUCAUGUAUUUAGCUGCAAUUGAACAAUUGCUUUGCCCUCUCCCAUUUAUGAGUAUGGACUUUGAACAAGAAGAAGGGGACAUAAAAAUACAUUUAAUUAAACCUCUCAAAUAGCAUUAAUAGAAUCAACAAGAGAAAGUACAAUAAUUAUAUCCCUAACAAAAUAAUUUACCUAAAUCCAAUUAACCAAAUCAAAACCCUUACGACACUUUAUCUUCUAUUUAGGUUGGUUUAAUUUCCAAUUCUUUUUACUUUUUUUAACUUCAUUACAUGGUGAGAUUUCAUCUAAGGAUAUUAUGGUAACUUUUGAAAAUAAUAUAAAAUGUUUUUUUUUAGAAAAAAUAAUUCAACAAUGAUAAUUGGAAGUUUGCAAAAAAGUUUAAGAAACAAUGUCUAAUAUAAAAAGUAAUUGUUAUGUGUAUAACAAAAACCAUGUUUCAAGCAAGUAAGGUAUUUAUAAGAGGGACAAUAUUACUUUCCUCAAUAUGUUUUAUUUUGGUAGAAAUUAUACCUUAUGUUAUUUAUGUGUCUCAAAAAGAGACAUAUAUGUUUGAUUUGUUGUUUCUUUUAACGGAAAAAAAAAAAAAAAAACUAAACGUGUUCGAACUCUUAUAGUUUGAGCUAUCUUGUGUUUUUAGUGUAGAGUAAGAGAUUUAAAUCAAUUUCAAUUUUUAGAGAUAAAAGUAAUGUGAAUGUCAAUGAAUCAAACUCACUCCGUUAUGUAAUUUUGACGUUGAAUUUUAUUGGAAAAUUGUUUUAAAUGGUAAAACGGUUGAAAAUACUUAUAAAUACAAUAAAAUUUCAUGGGCUUUCAGUCAUAGACAACUAUCCAUGAUAUUUUGCUAUAUUUAUAAAUAUUUUUGUUUAUUUUGUUAUAUUUGAAAACAAUCUAAUUUUAUAAAAUGUUUUAGUUAUUUUUUUGUCUAAGGAAGUUUUGUUUUUAAAAUGCCAUUGAGAGAAUAUUUUGUGGACAUUUUUGUUUGUUUGUAGUUAAAGCAGCAAACAUUUUGAAUAUUAAGAAAUAAUUAUUAAAAGUAUAAUUAUACCAUUUCGACAAAAAAAUCUAACAUUAGUUUAGUUAGAUAAUUAUUAAUAAUAAAGUAUAAUUAUACCAAAUUGCUACCUAACAAUACUUUUAUUUUUUGCUUUAAAAAAAAUAUAAGCUUAUAAUAUUAUUUUCACAAAUAAUUAUCUUCAUUAAUUUUAUUAAUCUACCAUUUAGAUAUACAAAAUCAAAGUUUUGAUAAAUAAAUUUGUAAAAGUAGAUUUUGUUGUAAAAAUUUAACAAAAGAAUCCUACACAAAUGUUUCAAUUAUCUCUCUUUUCAUUUGAGAUAUGCUUUAUUUUUAUACAUAAAAUUUUAAUUUAAACACUGUCCUUCAAAAAAUAUCCUAAAAUAUAAUAUUGAAACAAACUCCAUAAUUCUUUCUUUCUUUAAUUUCUUCUUCUUCUUCCUUUUUUUUUUUUUUUUUUUUUUGGUUAAAGUAGGACUUAAUUUUUAAACCUUGACCAUGAUGCCAAUAUUCAUAUUUUUGAACUUGUAGAAAUAAAAACACUCUCAAAGGUGUAUAUAUAUAAUAAUAAUAAUUUUCAAAAUAAAUAGAGGGAAUAUAAAUGAAAGUUUUGUUAGAGAAGAGUAUAGAAAACCUACCUCACAUCUCAUGAAUAUUCAGUAUAAUUUAAGAAAAUAUCAUAUUUGAUGGUUAGUCCAAACAUAAUUAGGAGAUAAAGAUAUAACUUAAACUACCUGUGGUUCACCAAUCCAACGCAUUGGGCUAGAGCUAAGGCCAAUUUCUUGCUUUAGAAUGCUUUCGUGCCACCAAUCACUAAGCAACAAGUUGAUUUCUUCGUCGUAAUGGAACGGCUCUUUCUCUCCUUCUUCUGGAUCCACUAUCAAGGAUCCAUAUAACCCAGCCGCUCUCUGCAUACCCAAAUGACCAUGAUAGAAAUAUGUCCCAGGCUGCCAAACGCAAGUUCAACAAAACAAAUAAAUUUUGUUAGAGAUUAUAUUUUAUGUCACUUUAUUCAGCAUCGACAUUUCGAAACCUUCUCACCUUAUCUACUACGAACUGGUAAGUGAAGGAUUCGCCUGGGUUAGUCGCACACUGCGAGAUGGAAGCAGUGCCAUCGGCCCAGGGAGUUCCCUUCUGUAGGAUUCCAUGCCAAUGAAUGACAACAUCUUCAGUGGAGAGCUUGUUAAUCAUCUCUACAACCACAGUGUCACCAACAUUGGCUCUAAUAGUUGGCCCGGGAAACUGGCCGUUGAUUCCCAUGACGAGGUUUUCUUUACAGUCCGGGGACCAAAACAUGUAUUCAACUUCCCAUGUGUAGUGUCUAGUUUGGGAAACAGCAUCAGAGAGAGUUAUUCCAAACCCAAAAAUGAUUGACAGAAGAAAGAACAUGGCUGGAAAAGGCAUAGGAAACAAUGGCUGAUUUGCAACUUUUGUUGCCAUCUCUUGGUAAAGAGAUGGAAGGGAAGAAUAAUAAUGCAAUGAGCAAAAAAGAGGAAAUUGGGAGUGGGAAGUUUGUGGAAGAUACCACUGCAAUUUACCAACGGCUCCUCCUUAAUUUAUAAUGAAAUUUUGUGAGGUUUUGAUAAUACAAAUUUAUGUCAACUUAUUUUUUCUUUUGUCUUCAUUUGUUUGAUACUUUUUUUUAUUGGUUUUAUAGUUCUAAAGGUUUUUUCUUCUAUGGAAAACUUGACGUUUAUAUGAUGGAUAUUGAGAACCUAGAGAGAGAUUUAAAUGUAGAAGUUUGUUUGGAUGUUUAAUUUUUUUAAUUAAAAUGUAUGUAUAACAUAAUAUAAUAACUUUUUUUUAAGAAUUUGCAUAGUAGAAAGGUACUGAAAUUAUGUGUUAUGUAAGAUUGUCUUUGCUAAGCUUUAGGUAAUCUAGAUACUAUUAAUUUCAUAUAAUAAAGUUUAUCUAAAUUUUUUUUAAGCUGAAGUAAAUUUAUUUGUUCUAACAUUUUCAUCUUAUAUUUUUAUAUCAAUUAGUUUAUAUUAACUUUAUUUUUUUUGUUUUUUUUAUCAUAAAUAAAUUUAUAUUAUAUAUUUUUUCAUUUAUACAUAUUUUAUAUUUCACAUUUUCAUUUUUUUAUUUAAACAUGAAUUUUUAAUGCAUGCAUGAGAGUCUUUCUAAAUACAAAAGUAUUAUGCCUAAAAGAAUAUACAAACGUAUUAGGUAGUUGUGGGAAAGAUAAAACGAACAUUGUAGUUUAAUAUAUAAUUAAAAAGAAUCCAAAUAUUAUUUGACUUUAUCUAAAGUUAAUUAUUAAUUACAUAUAAUUAAUCACAACCUUGCAUUAAUUUAUAUUUAUAUAAAAACAAGUGAAAUAGAGAAAGUGGAUAAAAAAAAAAAAGAAAAAUCCACCAAACUCAAUCAAAAUAUCAAUUUCUUUUUGCUAUAUUUUUCUAUCUCUAACGAUUUACCUAAAAAAAUGAGAAAAAUGAUGGGAAAAGGGUUAGUAAAAGAUUCUUCAAAACAUGAAAAGUCUUAAGAACCGUGAUUAAAAUAGAUAUUAACAUUAAUAAAAUGUUUGGUUAUAAUUAGAAAUAUUGAGGUUUCAAACCUUACGAAAAUAUCAAUAAAAAAUUUGAAUAAAUUAUGGAAUGAAAUCGUUAUAAUUAAUUAAUAAAAGUACUUUUAUUGUGACUUAAUUAGAAUUAACCAUUUUUAAUAGCAAUGUCUAUAAAGUAAGACAACCAUUUAGGUGCCUAUUGUUAGUGCAUGUGCAAAUGUUAAUAAGAUAACCUAGAUUUAAAAAUAAAUGGAAAAGUAGUUACCCAAGUUUAAGAAUGCUUUCGAGUGAAAUAUUCCACGAGGUUAAAAGUAAGUUGAAUUUUUUGGUUGGAGGAAAAAUACAAAUAUAACAAUUAUAUAAUCAAAAUAAUUAAACAUACAACAACAUUUUAAAAAAAUUAUAAAUAUAUAGCAAAAUCUAUUAAAACCUGUCAAAGAAAGAGUUAUCUCAAUAGAUUUUGCUAUAUUUAUAAAUUUUUAAAAAUGUUUUUAUAUAAUUAAUAAUUAUUUCUAAAACUGCUAUCCAUUAUAAUUAUCCUAAUUAAAAUUUAGAGCUCUUCCUCUAAAAUUUCGAUUUAUAUUGUCCAUGACUUUCCUACGUGUCAUUCAUUAUUGUUAUAUUUAUUUAUAUUAGUAGGUUAAAGAGUUGACCUUUUACUAUAUUUAAUAUUAUUUAUUAAUAUGUCAAUAUGAACUUUUAAUUAAUUUAAGGAAGCCCUAAUAAUUCCAUUAAGAGAUUUUUUUUUUCAUCAAUAUAUAUAUAAUGUAUUUUUAACAAAGCUAUAAUAGAGGUUGAGAUUAGAAGAAAAGUCUUCUAAAGUAAAACAAUGAGAGACAAAACAAAUAUAGACAAAAAAAAAUCAUAAAAUUGCAUCACACACAAGAUCAAACGAACCAAAAAUAUUUUUUAAAAAUUGAAUAUUCAAUCUCACUCUCACAUGUUACUUCAAAUUAAUGUACUCAUUAACUAAUAAAAGUACUUUACCUAUAUAUAUAUAUAGGACAUGAGGUUUUUUAAAAAAAAAAUCAUUAUCGACGCCUUCUCCUCUCAUCGUCUAUUUUAAAAAAAAAGUCUACACAAAUACACGUGUAAGAAUUUAUUAUAUAAUAAUUUUAUUUAUUAAAAAUUUAUAAGAUGUAAAUCGAUCCAUAUCUAAAAGUUUAGAACUAAGGGCUAAAGUUACGUAAUUUUAUAAUUACGUUUGGUGAUAGAAAAUUAAGGUUUUAGGGGCAUAAUUGCAGUUAGAAUUAUAUGAAGGGUGCUUUUUGCAAUUACUUCAUACACUCAACAUCAAAGUGAGUGUUUAGUACACAAGGCAUGUCAUUCAUUGUAUGUCCACUCCACAUAUAUAUACAAUACAUAUAUGCUCAAAGGUGUUAUUAACAAAAAUGAUAAUUUUUUGAAAAAAAUAUCUUAUAUCAAAACAACUAUGUCUUUGUCCUUACUAUCAGUUAAUUUCCAUCUAUAUCUUUAUUCUUUUACAUUUCUACAUUUUCAAUCUUUUUCAAGGGGCAAAUUGACAUUUUAUGCCUUUUUUAUAUUUAUGAUAAUUAAUUGCAACCUUAAUUUUUAUAAAUAUAUAUAACAAAACUCUAAUAUAUUUACAAUCGUGUAACAAAAUCAACAAAAUUCAUGAAGCUAAUAAAAUAUUUUCAUAAAUUCCAUAUUUGUUCCUGAUAUUGCAAAUGAUUCGUCGCUUCUCUUUCCUCUUCUUCUUUACAAUUUUUUUAUCUUCUCUUCCAGAUUUCUUCAACUCCUUUGAUGUUCUUUCUUCUAUUUUUAUUCAUCUUCUUUUUCUUUCUUUCCUUCGACUCCUCUUCUAAAUAUUAAUUUGAUAUGAUCUAAACAAUCGCUUACCUCAACAUGAUCAAAUAGCAUGGUCAACACGAUUGUUUAGAUUUAAAGUCAUUUUCCAUCGAUUAAAAAGAACUACACGAUCGUGUGGAAACGAUUUAAGUGAUCACUUACCUAGUCAACAUGAUAUAUAUAUAUCAUUUAGCAUGGUUAACACGAUCAUUUAGAUUUGAAGCCAUUUUUUCUAUCGUUUCAAAAGAACUACACGAUCGUGCAGAUAUGAUCUAAACGAUCGCGUACCAUAGUCAGCUCGAUCGUUUAGUGUGGUUAACACGAUCUUUUAUAUUUAAAACAUUUUAUUUCAUCGUUAAAAAGAACUACACAAUCGUGUGGAUACUACCUACACGAUCAUGUAUCAUGUUCUAUGUCGAAGUGUCUCAUGAUCGUUAAUUUAGAAAAAGAAUUAUACAUGUCCAUGCGGCCGAUUAAUCGUGUGUUGACUAAGAUAUUUUUUAUAUAUUUUUUUCAUCAUUGGCCCGUAACUUCUUCCAUUUUCAAAAUUGUUCUAUACAACGUAAAUAUUAUGUUAAUUUAUUAUAUUUUUUAAAAACACUAAACAAAACAAUAAUUUGGGUGUGAACUAAUAAUGUUUCAAUAAAAGAAUAUAUACAUUUUUUAAAUUUUAAAAAGGGAAUGAUUAAAGCUCAUAUUUUGUUUUCGUAUAAUUUUUCGAUAAAACUCAUAAUUUAAGGGAAGGGAAGGGAAUGACUAUAAAAACUCAUAUUUUGUUUAUAUUUAUAUAUUUGGUUAAAUUACAUUUUUACCCUUGAAGUUUAAAAUUUGUACGAUUAGUUCUAAUGUUUCAAAUUUGCAACAAAAAAAAAAGUACUCAAAUUUUAGAAAAUGCUCGAUUACGAUCCAAUUGGGAUCGGUUAAAUAGACAACAAAGAUGAGACAAAUUUACAAACUUUAGUAUGAUGUGUGACGAAAAACGAUUCCAUGAAGAUGUGGCUACAUUCAAAUAGUACCAUUAUUUGUAAGGUGAAGUUUUUUUCGUCAAUCUCUUCCCUCUUCUUACAAAAUUUGUUGUUACCAAUUCUUCCCAUCACUUGUCUACUUUUCUUGAUUUUGACAAGAGAGAAAAAAAGUUGGUUGACAACAUCCUCGAGAGGGAAGGGUGGGAAGAGAAAACAUUUUUUAAAAUUUUUAUUUUCUGAAUAAUAGAUUAAAGUUAACAAUAAUAGUUAAUUUAAUGUCUAAAUUGUGAGGAAGUUGAUUGUUUAAUUUUAAAAUGUGGAGACAUACUUUAGGAUCAAAGGUAUAAUUUCUUUAUAUUUUGAAAGCUACCAAAUUUAGUUCACUACCUCUAUUUUAUUUUUUUUCAUUUGUUUUUCACGUGGGAACAAUGAAAAUAUGUAGUUUCCUUUCAAAUUGGAAAGCAAUUCUGUCUGUUGGCUACAAAGACAAAAUACUAUUUGUUUUUCUUUUUAUUGUCUAAAUAAUAAUAAUACACGUUAUUGCUAUGUAGCUUUUAAUGAAGUAUGUUAGAAGUGUUAGGUGUGUCGGAGGAUAGAGGUAAAUUUAAACUUAACUUUUGUGAAAGUUGGGAGGUUGGACAUAGCGUAUUCAUGAAUUAAGCUCGAGUAAGUUGGAGCAUUUGAGAUUAGAAAUAUAAGACUAAUCAAUCUUAUUUAUGUUUUAAGACUUUUAACGAGAUUGACAAGAGUUGGAUGAAAAUUAGGAAUAGGUUUUAAUCGAUUAAGCACAGAGAAGAAAAUUUUCAAUUUUUAGAGGUUGCAAAAUAUCACGACAAUAAUUAUGGACGACUAAGGUGUCCAAGCAAGAGAUGUAUGAAUUCAAAUUGAGACUCAUUAGAGGGUGUGGAGCGACAUCUAUUAACAACUGGAAUAUCCCCCAACUAUACAGACUAGGUAUAUCAUGGAGAGCCUGUGAACUUACACAGAGGUAUGCAAAGAUUUGAUGAAGGAACUAGCAUUAGUAACCCCUUUUGAAAUGUUGGAUAUGAUUCAUGAUUUACAAACUCCAAACGAAUGCGAAGAAGAGACGGAGGAAGAUUUGGAGAAUGAAAUGUCGUGUAACAGUGGGGUAGAUAUAGAAGAAGAGACAACAAACGUCGUAUUUCAUGAGUUAUUAAACCAAGCAAGUUGUGAACUAUACCUCGACUGUUCAGAAUUUUCGUCCUUGAACUUUUUUGUUAUGGUAAUGCAUUUAAAGGUUCUUAAUAGUUGGAGCAACAAGUCGUUCGAUAUGAUGUUAGAGAUAAUAAAAUGUGUGUUUCCAAUGUGUGGCACCAAUAUCUCUAGUUCAUUUUACGAAGCCAAACGAAAAUUGCGUGAGUUGGACUUGGGAUACGAGAAUAUUCAUGAUUGCAAGUACGACUGUGUAUUGCUCUAGAAGUGUUUGGGGAUUUGCAACAGUGUCCAACUUGUGGUGAGUUUCGAUACAUGGUUAGUUCUAAUAGAUCAAGAAAAAAUUCUGCAUAAAGUAAUCCUACUACUUUCUGUUGGUGCCGAGAUUUCAACGCUUGUUUGUAUUGCAAGAAAGCUCGACAGACAUGAGAUGACAUAAGGAUAAAUGAGUGAGAACAAAGGAUUUGUUGAGACGUCCAACUGAUGUAGAGGGAUGGAAGCACUUUAACUCUGAAUUUCCUGAUUUUGCUCUAGAUUUACAGAACGUCUGUUUGGAAUUAGAUGCAAAUGGGUUUAAUCCAUUCGGUUAUAUGAGUGUCUCGUACAAUAUGUGGCAUGUGGUGUUAAUUCCUUACAAUUUGCCACCAUAGAAAUGCAUAAAAGAGUCAAACUUUUUCAUGCCAUUGUUCAUUUUUUGUCCAAGAUCUCCUGGUAGGGAAACGGAUGUGUACCAACAAACCAUUGAUUGAGAAACAGAAAGAGUUGUGGACUUUUGAUGUGCGUACGUAUGACUGUAUUACAUAUCAAUUUUUUCAAUUGCACGCAACCUUGUUGUGGACAAUUCAUGACUUCUCGACAUAUGGUGACCUAUCUAGGUGGAGUAUGAAGGGGUAUCAGACAUGUCUCAUUUCAUGGAAAAUAAAUCGUCGUUGGAUAAGAGAAAAAUAGCUUUCAUGUGGGACAUCGACGCUAUCUUUCAGAUAACUACAUGUUUGCCGUCGAAGUAGGCUACAUGAUGGAAAAGUCUAGCGUAAGCUAAGACUCCUCCAAUAGUAAUAAAUGAGCAUGAAAUCUUCAAACAACUAGAUUCGUUAGAAUUUCCACUUAUGACUAAGUAUCAUUCGUUAAAAGAUAAGAAAAGAAAUAAAGCUUUUGAUUGGUACAAGAAAAGUAUUUUCUUUGAUUUUCUUUACUGGUCGAGACUACUAAUUCGUCAUAAACCUGAACAACUUAAUUAUAUUUUUUUUGUUAAUUAUAUCGAUUUCAUAUUUUGUUUUAUAAUUUGUAAUUUUUUUAAUUUUAAUAAUAUGUUACAAAUUUUGUUUCUUUCAAUUUGAAGCGGAACUGAAAAUAAUAUACCUUACAAUAAAAAAUAAAAUAAAGAAAACAAUAAAAUGAUAAAAUAAUAAAAUAAUAAAAAAGAAAUUUAUCCCAACCUAGAAAACAGGUCGGGAUCCUGUGUUCACCCUGACUUACCCAUACGACAUCGGGGAAACUUUUCUCGAUGCAUGUCGAGAGUACCCUUUUCUUGACGCACAUAGACAACAUCAAGCGUAUUCCACUACCGACGUCUUGCCUGUGUCGGCAUGGACAGUGUUGGGAAUAACCCUAUGUUGACGUCUUCACUUUGAUGCGUCGUAGAAAGCUGCCCCGGCGUUGAAAUCCUGACGUUCUAGUUGACGGAGAAUUAUGCGUCGAUAAUACUUUGACUGACACCUUUACUAUUUUUGCCGACGAUUUGUGGUGUUAGAAGUCCUCCGCUUUCUUGUAGUAGGAGUUGCUCACAAGUCCUGACGUGUUAUGAAGUGCGAUGAGAGAGACUGCACCAAACGCGUAUAUGAAUCGACAUUAGGAGCUUGUCCUUACUUUCGACGUCAAAAUGAAGCGCGUUGGGAAAAGGAAACUCCUGACACCGAUUCAUAUACGUGCUAGGAAAUCGUCUCCCAAUGCAUUAUUUCUUUCAACUCGUCUCCUGACGGUCCUGUAUGCGUCGGGAUCCUUUCUAGACGCAUUUGGAUAUAUAUGUCAAUGCUUUUAUGUGUCGAAAGAGCCACUAUUUCUUGUAAUGAUAUUUGAUUCUUUGGUUCUUUCUCUUGAAAAAAUAAAUUUAACUAUUAAAUUUUCUGAUAUUCUUGGAUAAUCAAAUUUAGGCUUGAUGAACUUCUUCAAUGAUUGACCUUUAUUGGGUUUGUUGAUCUUUUAGAGAAUCGACCUUCGAACUUAUUGGUCUUUUCUUAAAUGAUCGGUAUUUAGGUUAGAUGAUUAAUUUGGAUUGAUCAUUGGUUUGGUGAUAUGCUUAGAUUUGCCUUACAAUUUUAAGAGAGUUAUAUUUUUUUGAUCUUAAGAGUUUUGAUCAUAUAAAUUUUAGAUUUUAAGAUCUUUAAAGCCUCCAUCUCCAAAAUUUGAGAACUUCAAAGUUUCAAUUUUUAGAGAAAUCUGUGUGCUUUAAUUUAGUCUUUUAGAAUAAUUUAAGAACGUCGAAAUCUUCCCAGCUUUCAAUUUUUCAGAAGGUGAUUAGUCUCAAGAUUGAUAAGAACUUUAAUGUCUUGAGAGCUUCAAAUCUUCAGAGCUUCGACUUUUCAUCGUCAAUUCUAUGGCCCAAAUUUUCAUGGGGCUUGAAUUCGGUCAGGUUCAAGAUACUUUAAUUAGAGAUAACUGUGAAACUCGCAAAAUAUUAAAUAACAAACUGAAGAAUAGCAAAUCCCCAAAAUAUUAAGAUUUAUAGCAAAAUUGUCGAUUGCAUAAUUUUUUUGACUUUUUUUGACUUUUUGCAUAGAAUAACAUUUUGAGAAUAUGAUAUAGUAAUUAUAGCACGUUGUUUUAGAAUUUUGCAAAUAUGACAAAAACUCUCCAUCUUAAAUUUGUUAUUAUUCUUAAACUGUCAUUCAAUAACUUAUUUCUCUUUCUUUUUUUAAUGCCUUACUCAUUAUUUAUUUAUUCUCUCACUUUUUCAAGUCCUAAUUAUUUGUUUAUUCUUAUACUAUAAAAAUUAUUUAUUAUUUAUGUCUUAAUCUUAAUUUUAAAAUUAUAGUACAAUAAUUGCAAUAUGAAAGAUAAUAUAAUGAUUGUUGAUCGAAGUAAUUUAACUUCAUUUGUGGUUCUUUUUUUUUUUUUUACUUUCUUCGAUGUGUAUUUUAAGUUGAAUAUGAUUCCAAAUGAUUUUAUUUUAUUUUUUUACAUCAAUUUUUUUAUUUUUCUUUGUCUCAGUUUUGUAUAUCAAUAUUGUGAUAUACUUGUAUUAUAUGUAGUAGUCAGUUAAUAUACUUAUUACGUGAUUUUCGAUUUUUUAAAUUUUAUGCAGUUUAUUAGAGUAUUAUUAAGUAUAUGAAUGAUGUAACUCGGUGUAUCAUUAUCAAGAAUAUCAAUAAUAUAUUGUUAAAGCAUAUCAGUAAAGUGAAUCAUUAUCGAGUAUAUUAAUCAAGUUUACAAGUGUAUAUCAAAUCUAUAAGUAGGACUUCAAGAAUAUCAAGUGCAUUUAAUCAAUCAAUUGUAUAAGUGAAGAAUACUAAAUGUAUCUGCAGUGUAACAAGUGUAUCAAACAUAUAUUAGUAAUGUUUUAGGUGUGUAUCAAAAGAUAUCGAGUGUAUCAAAGUGAGUAUCAGGUAGAUCAAGUGUAUCAAUCAAAUGUAUCGAGUGUAUCAAGAAGUAUCAAGUGUAUUAAGGGGUGUAUUAGGUGUAUCAAACGUAUAAUAGUAACGAGGGUAUUUAUGACAUUUUACCUCUUGAUAUGUGGGUCGGGCUUCAAUUUUGCCAUUUUCGCAAAUAAUAAAUUGUGUGUCCUAUAGACUUAAUUAUUAUAAUUUAUUUUGUCAUUUUUUUCAAGUACCCCUUAUAUAAAACAAUUCAUUUCUUACACAUACAGUGAAUGAGGCAGAAUAUCACAAGUUCAUGAAUAUAGUGUAUUUGCAAACAACAUUAAAUUUUGGAAAAUCUUAACUAAAUAUGAUAUUUUCGAGUUUGAUAAGAUUACACCAACAUCCCUAAAUAUAUGACGGUAAUUUAUAUCAUAUUUUUGGAUUCUUAAAAUUUAAAUCAAUUAAUUAACAAUUUAUUGAUAUAAUUCAUAAUAGAUAUGUUUAACAAUAAUGUGAAUUCAAAUUUUAGAUAAUGUCACUAAAAUAAUAGCAAAGAUCAAUUCAAUAGUUUUUGAUUCUUUAUAUUUCAUACUAUUUAUCAAAUCUUUAUUAAAUAAUACAUAAUACAUAUUUUUAAGGUGAUUUUUAAAAAUAAAAUAAUGGACAAACUAUUUCAUGCCCAUAGCAAAAUUUUAAUCCAAGACCAAAAUGGAUAACUAAAAUUUUAACCGAAGCCAAAGUAUUAAUGUUUUUUUUUGCUAUAGGAUGUAAAUACUUUCCAUUUUCUUCUAUUUAUGUAAAUUUAUUACAUGAACACAUCUUCAUUUUUGUCGACGAAAAUAUAUAUGUGGCCAAAAAAGUUGUGUAUUGCGUGGGCACAUCAUCGUCUUUGCCAACAAAAAUAUACAAAAAUAUAUAAGUGGACAAAAAUGUGUGUGGUGAAAAGGAAAAUUUUUAAGUUGGCUUUCUGCCGACAUUUACUUUUGUUUAUCACCACGUAUCGUGUGUUGGUAGAUAUUUUAAAUAUGUGCCCUCAUAAUUUAUGUGGCGAAAAAUCCUACAUUUUUAUACAUAUUUAUGGCGACGCUAGACCUAUACAUACGACGACGCAAGACUUAUAACGUAGGCAUAAGUGUUUUUUUUUAAAAAAAAAAAACCUAAUUUUUCCAAAUAUUUUCCUCCUUUUCUUUUCUCUCACGCAGUUCCUCCUUUACGUGAAUGGCUUGCUGCACCCCAAACACCAAGAUUUUCUUUGCUCACGUUGAUUGCCCAUCUUCGAUUUCACUCCUUGUCGUCACUGCUCUUCGCUCAACGGCUCGCUGCACCCCUUGCUUAUCGAUUUGUAUUAACUCAAAUAAGGUCUGAAUUGUAUUAUUGCAUUAAAAUUUCAGUACCUCAUCUGAUACACAAAAGCAAUAAUUCUCCACUGAAUUCUUAUGAAUUCUUAGUAAUUCUUUGGAUGUAUCUUCUUUUUCAUUUUCCUUACUGUAUUCUCUAAAUAAGAAAUUUUAACAUCCUCCCGAAGUUGAUCAAGGCUAAAAGGCUAGAUGCACAAUUGAGGUAUGUGAGGUGCUUAAAGUACUUGAACUAAUCUCGAGGUUUAGAAAAAACUUUUGCAUUAAACUGUAUGUUAGGAUGAUCGUAGCUUACUGUUCAUCAUUCUUUUACUUUAAGACUCUAGGAUGUGCAAAUAAGUGGCUCAAUCUUUGCAACCAUCCACCAAAUUUAGUUGAAUGUUCCAAGGCAUGGUGGUUAUUGUGUCAACCUUCUCCAAAUCAUAGCAAACUCAACUACCUAUCAAUGGAACAAAAAACAUCUAUAAGAAACAAAUAAAUUGUAAAACUUUUAUUUUGAAUGAGAAAAAAAAUAUCUAUUGAAUAUGACAUUUUUAAAUAUAUUAGUAAUUUAGAAACGUCACGUUGAUAACUCUAUUGAACAAAACAUUAAUUAAAUAGUGACUUUUUAACUAGAAUAAGAAACUUUUUUGAUAGACAUUAAUAUUACGCAUGAAUAUCCUUCAACUAUGAUAGCAAAUCAUGCAUAUAUUUCAUAUUUAUUGUAUGCUUGAAUUAUAAUAUGUUGUGGCUAUCAUAUCGCUACAGUAGCCAAUCAUGUAUAUAUUUUACACUUAAUAUAUGUUUGAGUUAAACUGCUACUUUGGACACGUUUUUCGAUAUUUUGUGUUUGAUUAUGAGUUUAGAAGGCACAUUUGAGCAUUUUGAAAGGAUUUUUUUGGACUUAAAAGGUGAUUUUUAGUUUGAUAUUUAAGACAGUUAGUAGGUGAGUUUUUGUUGGAUUUUAAUUUGAAAGUUACAAUUGGGUUUUUGGUUGUUUUGACAUAUAAAAGGCUACACAAACCCAUUUUUGAGUUAAAGUACCACUUAAACAUUUUGGAGGUGUUUUGGGGGUAGGGAAAGGAAAUGAUUAGUCAUUUCUAUGUAUGGGGGGCAAGAAUUAAGGUGGGAAAGGAAUAAAUUAAUUUCCCACUUAAUCCUUCUCUUUCUUCCAUAAAUACAAUCACAUCAAACUUUUCUCUUUUUUCAAAAUAUAGAUAUGUUUUUCUUAAUAAUUAUAUUUUAACAACUAUAAGUAUCUUUUCACUUUUCCAUAACAAUUUUAUAUAUAUAUCCACAAAUACACAUAAUUAUGAAAUUUCUAUUAAAUAAACACUCCAAGAUAUUUAAUUAAAUUUAAAUUCAACAAUACUAAAAAUCUAAAUCCAAUGGUUAAUUAAAUAUUCAACCCUCGAGUAUUUAAUUAUGUUCAUCCUCAUUUGUUUAAAUCGAAUAUUAAUGAUAUGCAAUAUCUUAACAUUGCACUUACAAUAUCAAAUUUAAAAAAUGGAUAUAAUUUAUUUCGCACGUAACGCAUCAAUUAAUUUAUUGGCAGGAAAACUUUCGUAUAAAACGUACACAAUUGACAUUGUAUUUACGAAAACUAAUAGAGAGCAUGUUUUCCAAUAAAAAAUCGAUAAAUUAAAAUUAUGAAUAUUUGUGUAUUGGAUUUACUAUACCAUUUUUUUUUAAAAAAAAUACAAGAGUAUGAAUUAAAAAAAUAAAUAAAUAAUAAUAAUAAUAAACUUUUUUUUUGUCAUAAUCCUUCCUCUAUAAUCCUUCUCACUUAUUUCUUCCCCGUAUCUUUGAAAAUGCAACAAAAAAAGAAAAAAAAAAGAGGAGCAUAAUUUUUAAUGUAUUGGAUUUAUAUAUCAAAUUGAAUAACACGUUAAAGACAAAUGAAAAAAAAAAUACAAUUUAUUUGUGAACUAAAUUUACAAUACAAAUUUCAAAAACAUAUUUCACACAAAGAAAUAAUAAUAAUACAAUUUGUUUUGUGUAUUGGAUUUAAUUUUUAAAAAAAUAAGAAAAAAAACUACUGUACAAAUGAAAAAAAAGAAAAAAAAAAACUUCACUUUUGAAAUUGUAAUGAGUGUACGUUAAAGUAAUAAAAUAUUUAUACAAAAUCACCAAAAAUAAAAAUAAUACAAAUUUUUGGUGUAAUUGGAUUAGGGUACAACUUAACUGAAAUAAUGAAUUUAAAUACAAUUUUUUGUUGUAAAUGUUUUAUGAUACAAACAGACAAAAGGUUAUACAAAUGCAAAAAAUAUUAGCACAUUUUCAUUUUGUAUUGGGUUCACGAAAAAAAAAACAAGAAUUUCAUACCCAUGAAAAAAAUUAGUUUUUUUCGUACAAUUUUUUUUACACAAAUGAAAAAAAAUACAAAUUUUUUUAACAUAAUCUUUAUCCAGAGAAAUAUUAUAAAUAAUCUCUCAUAAUCCUUCCAGUUAUUCCUUCUCCCCAAACAACGAUUAGAAAUAAUCAUUUUCUUUUCAUAAUUCCCCUUUCCUUAUUCAUUUCCCCUCAUUUUCCUUUCCUUCCCCCAAACACACCCAAAAAGCUAAUAUGUUAUGGUAAUUAUUGCUAUAGGGUCAACUUUUUGUUCAUACUAUUUGAAGAUGAAUAAGGAUUGGAUUAAACUAAAAAAUAGAUUUUCAAGUGAUUAUGUUGAUGGAGUUUCUUAAUUUAUGGAAGUGGCUAAGUGUCAUGUAAAUGAUGUAGGAAAAACUAGGUGCACAUGUAAGUAUUGUCAAAAUUCAAUGACACAAACAUUGGAUGGAGUAGAGCAUCAUUUAUUUGCGAAUGGAAUAUCUUCUUUAUAUGAUAAAUGUAUUUAUCAUGGAGAAGCAAUGAACUUUGCUAGAUUUGAACAGAGUACUACUUCGUUAGAAAGUGAUAGAUUAAGUAGAGAGUCUGAUGUUGGCAACAAGGACGAUGAUAUUUUAGAUCUUUUAACUGACUUGCAAGGUUCAAUGAUAGCAAGGGAAGAAAAUUUUGAUGACGGAGAUGUAAGUUUUGAUGAUGAAUUUUCAGAAGAUGUUGAUGACAUGGACACUAGUAACAUUUUUAGGAGUUGAUGAAUGAAACACGUAAACCGUUGUAUCCUGGAUGUACCAACUUUUUCUCAUUAAAUUUUUUGGUGAAGUUAAUGCAAAUCAAGAUUCUGAAUAAUUGGAGCAACAAAUCGUUUGAUAUGCUAUUAGAAUUGUUGAAAGAUGCAUUUUCAAUCGGUACAUUUAUAACUAAAUCAUUUUACGAAGCUAAGAGAAAAUUAUGUGACUUAGGGUUAGGAUAUGAUUUCAUCCAUGCUUGCAAAAUAUGACGGUAUAUUAUUUCGAAAAGAAUUUGCUAAUUGUCAAAGUUGUCCACUAUGCAGUAAAUCUCGAUAUAAACAGAGAGUGAAAAAGGAAAGAAGAUUCCAAAUAAGGUUUUGCGUCACUUUCCACUAAUUCCAAGGAUGAAACUAUUGUUUUUUAAUCAAAAUAUAUCGCUUCUAAGAUGAGAUGGCAUAACGAUAAACAGAGGAUGUUUUACGACGAUAUCUAGCUGAUGAUGUAGAAUGGAAGCACUUCGAUAGAGAAUUUUCUCAAUUUUCCUCAAAGCCAAGAAAUGUUCGUUUAGGCUUAGCUUCACACGAUUUUAAUCCAUUUGGGAAUAUAAGUACUGCAUAUAGUAUGUGGCUAGUGGUGCUUAUACCAUACAAUUGUGGCUAGUGGUGCUUAUACCAUACAAUUUGUCCCUUGGAAGUACAUGAAGGAGUCCAAUUUUUUCAUGUCUUUGUUUGUACCUGGACCCAAAUCUCAUGGGAAAGAGAUUGAUGUAUAUUUGCAGCCCAUAAUUGAUGAGUUGAAAGAGUGGUGGAAUAAUGGUGUGCGAGCGUUUGACUGUACAUAUGAAGAGUAUUUUCCAUUAUAUGCAUGUUUGUUGUAGACCAUCAAUGAUUUUCCUGUAUAUGGUGACUUGUCGGGAUGGAGUACGAAAGAAUAUCAAGCAUUUCCUACUUGUAAAUAAGAUACGUCAUCGUUUGGGAUAAAAGGAAAAAUAUCUUUUAUGGGACACCAACGUUAUCUUUCUUCUAAUAAUAGUUGACGUCGAAGUCGACAAUAUGACAAAAAAACCCGAACGCAGGCCUCCACCAAUUGUAAUGAGGGGAGAUGAGACCUUACAACAAAUAAACUCCAUGAAUUUUCCAGUGCUAAGUAAGCAUUCAUCCAAGAUGAAUAAGAAAUGAAAACAUACUAUUAAUUGGAAUAAGAGAAGUAUAUUCUCUACACUUCCGUAUUAGUCUAAACUUCUUUUGAGACAUAAGUUGGAUGUCAUGUAUAUUGAAAGAAAUGUUUGUGACAACUUGCUUGACACUUUAUUAAAUAUUGAUGGUAAAACAAAGGACACAAUCAAUGCUCGUUUAGAUUUAGGAGACUUGAAUAUAUAAAAAGGAAUUACAUUUGCAAAGGCAAGGAACUAAGCUGAUAAAACCACAUGCUACGUCUACAUUAACCGGCACCGAAAGAAUAGACUUUAUAAGUUCUUAAAAUCAAUUAAAUUUCCUAAUGGAUUUGUCUCAAAUAUAUCACGAUGUGUGAGUGUCAAUGAUGGAAAAUUAUAGGGACUAAAGACUCAUGACUCUCACAUUUUACUCUAAUGACUUAUUCUCAUUGUUGCACGAGCAUACUUACAUAAGGGUGUGUGUACAACUAUCGUUGAGUUAUGUAAUUUUUUUCAUGAUUUGUGUGCGAAGACAAUACAUAUCAGUGACCUGAAUCGUCUGAAAGCCAAUAUUGUGAUCAUACUCUACAAAUUUGAAAGAAUUUUUUCACCUGCGUUUUUUGACGUAAUGAUACAUCUUGCAAUUCAUUUACCGGCUAAGACAAAGAUUGUUGGUCCAAUAAUCUAUAGUUAAAUGUAUCCCAUAGAAAGAAGCUUACGAACAUUAAAACAAUAUGUACGAAACAAAGCUUGUCAUGAAGGUUCCAUAGCAGAAGCAUUUCUUAUGAAUGAAUGUUUGACCUUCUACUCGAUGUAUCUAACAGGAAUAGAGACAAGAUUCAGUAGGAAUUCACGAAAUGAUGACUCAAUGAGCAGAAAACUUGGUUGUGGGGACUUUGAUGUAUUUAAAUAAAAUAUGUGACUAAUGGAGGGGUCAAUUGUGAGGACGCUAUCUGAAGAAGAGAGACGAAUGUGUCAUUGGUAUGUUCUGAACAACUGUUCUCAAAUAGAAUCGUAUCUCAGGUACAUUUUAUACAUUCAUUUACUUGUCAGUUCAUAGUGUAUAUAAGUAAGUCGAAAUUCUUUUUAAUAUUUAAUAUGAUUGAUAAGCAGAGAAAAUUUGAGUUUGAUAAAUACCAAAUGAGAGGAUGGACUAGAUUUAUUUAGAAGGCACCAAUUAAAAUUUCCUAAUUGGUUUAAUGUACAUGUAAGUGUUGUUUUUAGCUUCAAAGUAUGAUGUUUUACUAUUGAGGUAUUAGUAGUUAUUCUAACCCACAUAAUAUUAUGUAGAUGUAUUCAUUACGUGAAAAAGGUGAAGCAUCUGAUGAUCUUUACUCCAUAGUGUUGGGCCUAUUAAUCAAGUUCGCACUUACAGUGGUUGCUUUGUAAAUGGAUUACAUUUUGAUUCAAUAAAGCGUGACAAUCGCCAGACUACUCAGAAUAGUGGAAUCAUGGCAUAUGGAGAAACCAAAGCCGACAAAACGGAUUACUAUGGUCUAUUGCAAGAGGUCUUGGACUUAGAAUACCCUAAGUGUAGACGUGUAUGUCUUUUCAAAUGUAAUUGGUUUGGAACCGAUGUUAAGAAGAACAAAUUUUGUUCUAAUUUAGGCUUUAAAAUAAUUAAUACUUCUCGUUUGGGUACACUGAUGACCCAGACAUAUUAGUUACACAAGUCGUGUAGGUUUUCUACACUGACGACCCAAAACUCCGCAAUAAUUGAAAAUUUGUGCAAAAUGUCCAAAAUAAACAAGUAUGGGAUGUCCCAUAAGUUGAAAAAUUAGAAAAAGAGUUGUUAGAAGCAUCUAGUUCAAUUGGGUUUGAUAAAUCCAUACAUGAUAUCCCAUUUUGUAGAGGCGAUGUUAAACCUACUGUUUUUUAUAAUCAAGAGAUAGAUAAUCAAGAUCAAUCCCCAAUCGAUGACGACUUUAUAAAUGACGAACCUGAACAACUAGAAUCUUUGGAUUCAUAUGGUAAUGAAUAAAGGGUAUAUAUUAUAUGUUUAUCAAAUUUAUUUACGACAUGUUAUUUUAAAGUCUAACCACUAAUAAUUAUUUUUGCAGCAUAAUGGUACAUACAGAUCAAGCACAAUUGGCAUUGACUGAAGUUGAACAAACAAACACUACACCAGUUGAUCCUUCCACUCAUCAAGACGGUAUUAAUAUGAUAUGUAAGUUUAUUUCUUAUACAUUACUGAAAUGAUCUAAAAAUAGUUUUACUUUUAGGAUAUCAAUCACAAACUAAAAAGUGAGGAAAUGAUGUGAGAGGAUACGGUCCAAACAUAGAAUUGGACAAAUUUGUAGAAAAACGUGGAAAGAUCAAGAUAGAGAUUAACAAAGAGGAAGAAAAACCAAUGACGGCAUUUGCCCCUAAAAUUGGGUUAGGCAUUGGUACUGUCGUUCGAAACACUAUUCCAUUGAGUUGAGGGAAUUGGGAGGCGGUACCUAUAGGCGUAAGGAAGCUCGUGAUUGAUCGGUUGGAGGUAUGUUUAUGUUUAAUUUAUGCCUUCUUAUAUUGUUUAAAUGUAAAAGUUGUCCAUUUAUACAUAUAUUAUUAAAUAUGUAGACAAAUUUUGAAUUUGACCCAACUGACAUAAUUGUGAGAAAAUACUUAGAAAAAAAGAUGCAUAAUACUUUUAGAGAUCAAUUUAGAGCAGGUUUGAAUUGUAUGUACUUGAGUUGAAAUAUUUUGUGGCUAUCCUGCGGUGGCAACCAAUCAUACAUACAUGACAUUUUCAUAAGAACUGUCCACGUUUCUCUGUAUCGGUAAAGACGAAUAUUCUUGUAGUGUUUGUUGUUGGACAAGAUUGCAACAACCUCCUAUAUGAUAAUGGUAAAUAUAUAUACAAGAUUUUCAGGUUUGUUAUAUUUUAAAAAAUUUAUUAAAUACUACAUAAUAUAUAUUUGAAUAACAAUUUGAAAUUAAAUUUUAGAUACUCCUCAUAGAAUAAUGCCAAAUAAAAAUACAAGAUUUUCAGCUAUUUUAUAUUUUUAAACAAUUUACUAAAUAAUAUAUAAUAUAUUUUUAAUAACAAUUUGAAUUUGAAUUUUAGAAUUGUAAUUAUGUCUCAAUGGGACUUUUGCAAUUAUUUGAAUCUUCUUCUUUUAUGUUUUAUUUGAGAAAAAAAAAAAAAAAAAAAGAAGAUUGAGAGGGGGGCAACCGAUGCAAGAGACAAACACUGUGUGAGAGAGAAAUUUUUUCUUUUAAACAAGAGAGAAGAAAAGUGCGAUCGACAGAGAGAAAGACGUCGGAGUUUCGACGUUAGUGGCUAUGGGCAUCUGACGGCAUCUGACGUUGGUCAUGAGUUUGCGGCAAGUUCUGACGUUCUGGCGUUUGUUGGAGUCAGAUUUAGCCAACUUUCAUGGAUUUAGCUGCAAGCAGGAUGAUAGAAGGCUCGAGCAGUGUUUAUGGUGAGUUUCAUCGUUCAUGUUUUGUUUUUCAGCCUUGGUUCUUCUUAGGGUUUUCAGUAGGUUAUUCGACAUGUGAGUCUCCGGUCGGAGGAGCCGGCAAGAUGAAAAUUUCACAAUCUUACGUCAGAGGAGCCAACAAGAAGAAAAUCCAAGUAUGAAGAGUUUGAAGAGUUUGAAGGGGACGAGCUGGAAACUCCAAUAGUUUCUGCAACUAUGGAAGUUUGAUGUUGAUAUGUGUUAAUUGUGUGUUGGGAGUAAGAUUUUAAUUAUAGGGUAUUUGUGGUUUGUUUAAUAAUUAUAUUUAGGAUUCAAUUUUUUUUAUUUAGGUAUGGGCAUUUAAGACAUUUGUUCGUGCAAUUAUUUUCUUAUACUUUUUUAUUUUUCUAUUUUAUCAAUUUAAAUAAAGAUUUGUUGUUAGAGAAAUGUGUGAGAAUGGCAAAAUAACAUUGUGGUGUUUGGAAAAUAGCAAACAUAAAAAGUAAUUUGAUUUUUAGCAAAAUUGCAAAAGAUAUAAUUUUUUUUUGAGAAUUUUUCAACCGAUUUUAUCUCUUGAUAGGAUGACUAUCAUUUUGUUAAUUACAAUGUAUUUGUGAACCGUAAAAUAAUAAAACAUAACACAUAAUUACGAUUACGAUGCAUUUGGAUAUCAUUCAAUUUUGUAAUAAUAUUAAAUAAAUAUUUAUUUUAUCUAUUAAUCUCAUUUAACUAAAUUAUAGAUUCAUGUCUUAAAUUUAUAACAGAUUAUCCUAUUACUUAAUUGUAGGUUUUGUUGGAAGAUUAAAAUUUUAAAAUUUAAAAUAAUAUCUUUGGUUUAAAAUUAUGCAUUUUAUAUAAUAACAACUUCAUAUAAAUGGUGUAUUUUUCCUAUAAUUAUGCAUAUAGCAAUUAUACCAUAUUCGACCAUAUUAAUAAUAAUAAAUUGUUAAGCAUUAUUUUAGAGAAUAAAUGGUAACAUAACGAUAAUGCAAUCUUAUUAUAUAAUUAUCAUUAAAUUAGGAACAUUUUCUAUAGAUAUUAUUUACUACCAUUUAAAAAUUGAGUUUAAAUUCUUGCAAAUUCUCCUAAAAUCGUAUUAUUACAUUGAUCUCCCUAAAAUAAUGACAAACAUAGAUUUAACAUUUUUGGAUUAUUUAUAUUCCAAAAUAUUUAUAAAAUUACCCUAUUUAAAUUUUGUAUUUAAAUACCUCCAAAAUACAUAUUGCUCGUAACAAAUUGAAUUUAAAAUUUUAUCUUCCUCAAAAAUUGUGCUAAUUGGUUGAUUUUUAUUUUUAAAAAAUUGUUUUAUUGUGCCAAUGGUAGAAAUAAUUAUUUUCAGACGUGUUUUUAAAUUACGUUAAUAUCUAUGUUUAUUUUCAUCUAGUAAGAGUCUCAAACACACCAUAAUUGUGAUUCACAAUCUUAUAAUUUUAUAGUCAUCUAUUAUACAAACAUAUUUCAAUCAGCAGAUUUGGAAUACACAAAAAAAGAUAAAAAAAUUUGGUCAUCAAGAUGUAGUAUCAUUACCUAUACAAUUUAUUUCAAUAGGUCAAAAAAACGAGAUAUGAUAUUGAAAAUAACAUAAAUUUACUUUAUUUUGUAAAUAACAUUCAAAUUUGAUAAAUCUUAAUUAAACAUGUUAUUUUGUACAAUUUAUUAAAUAAUACAUGAUAUAGUUUUAAUAACAAUUUGAAUUUAAAUUUUAGAUCAUUCCCUAAAAUUAUAUAUAAAUCCAAUAAUUUCACUUUUUUAUAUUUUUAGCCAAUUUUACUUGUAUAGAGGAAAAUUCUUAUCUUAUUGGUAUAGUGUACUUGUGUAGGUUAAAAUGAUGAAAUAUAACUCAGAAUCACGAAUAUAUUGUAUUUGCAAAUCAUUAAGUUGUGUAAAAAUAUUAAAUAAAUAUUUAUUUUCGAAAUGAAUUUGAUUGAAUCAACAUCCCCUAGAUUUAAAGGCUGCAAUUUAUUCUAGAUUUUCUUGUUUGUUGGUUUCAAAUCAAGUAAUUAACAAUUUAUUUAGUUGUGGUUGUUCAAAUUAAAAUUGUAUCUUACCCCUAUAAUUAUGAUGCAUUUAAUGUAUAUAUGAUUAUUCUAAUAAAGUUUUGAUAUUCCUCUAUAAUCAUGAUACUUGAUUGAUUUCCUAAAAUGAUGUCAAACAUAAUUUCAAAAUUUUGGGAUUAUCUUGUUAAUAUUCUUUAUCUAUUCUCCAUAAUUGUUAUUUAAAAAUAGAUUUUAAAUUUUGAUUUGAAACCGUCAAAAUAUUAAAAUUGAUUUAAAAAUUUAUAAAAAUAGUUAUUGUUAACAAUAAUUUGAAUUUAAAAUUUUGUCAUCCCUAAAAUCAUGCUAAGAUAUCUUUAUAUCUCCAAAAUAAUAGCCAACAUAAAUUUAACAGUUAUUUAUAUUCUAUUAUAAAAAAUAAAUAUUUUAAUUUUGGAAGGAAUUAAUUGAGAAGAAAAGAUUUGUUUUAUUUAAAUUGUAAAAGAAAAAAAAAAGAAAGUGAAGAUAUUUAAGGGAAAAUAAUAAUAUAAUAAUAUUACUAUUACUAUUCAUCAUCUUCGUCACUCUCACCAAACCCUGACUGCCGCUGACACCUCCAUCUUCGUUCGCCAUCCCAUCCAUUCUGUUGAUCGAGAACUAAACCGCAAGGAAACAUCUCCUCUGUUGCACGCCACUAGUCGCAUGUUUACUUCAUCCGAAGUCAAGCGUCUUUGUGCCGCUUGUUCAUUCGCAUCGCGCGUCGCACGCUCAGCCGCGUCGAUCUCCUUUGUCUGCAUUCGUUCACUGGUUAUACCAAAACUUCCAGCCACAAAACUUCCAGUCACCGUCAAUCCCCGAAUUUUAGUGACUCUGUUGUUGUGGGGGUUUUGUGACAUACAAUGUAUCUUUUCUAAAAUUCAAGUUGAUAUAUUGUUGCUAUAAUUUAACAAACGAAGAAGAAAAUCCAUUGAAGAAGCUCACUUUUGCGCGAAACGAAAAAGAAUCUAUAAUCGGUUUGAUGAAGAAGAUGGUUGGCAAGAAGAAAUUUUUUUAAUUUGCAGUAAAUGUAUAAAGACUUUGAAGGUUUUGAAGAGGACGAAGCUUAAAGCUCUAAUAUUUUCUGCAAAUGAUCAAAGACUUUGAAGAUUUGGUAGAAUCUACGAAAGUAGAAGGUAAUGAAGUUGGAUUCUUUUCGGCUUUGAAUACCUAAACAUACACAAUUUCAACAAGGAUGUGUUAUUUAAUUACAAGGUAUUUAGGUUUUAGGUAAACAAUUCCACAAUGGACUUAGCGUUUUUGUGAUGUCAGGACGAAUCUUAAAUUAAUGGCCAAAAGUUCUUAUUCAAUCCGAACUACAAGCGAGUAUUAAAGAAAAGAAAUGAAAGCAAGGGCGAGAGAAGAAACGGAGGUGAUGGAGCAUAAAUUAAAACGAUUUUGGUCCAUACACUAAUCACAAAUUACAUUUUAAAUAUUUUUUGUUUUCUUGUUAGGUUUAUCUCUUGCUUUUCUUUUUCUCUUUUCCUUCCUUCAAUUCAAAGGAUUUUUUUCAAAAUAUUUAUAAAUAUAAAAAAAUAGUACUUUUAAUUAGCCAUCGAUGGUGAUAGGCUUAUCUAUGUGACGAUGGACCUAGAUUGCAGUCUAUCUUGAUUUAUUAUUAAUAUAAUUGUGAUAUUUUGAUAUAUUUAGAAAUUUUUUCAUUUAAAAUAUUUUUCUUGUUAUAUUUUGAGUGUGUAUAAAUAGAUUAAAAUUAAAGGGUAAAAAAGGGACAAAAGGACAAAAAGAAGGGUAAAAAAUAAAAAGAAACGUUAGGAAAAAGGGGAAAAGAAAACAUGACUAAAUAAUAAUGAGAAAAAAGAAUGGAAAGAAAAUAAUGCAUUAAAUUAUAAAUUUGGUCGAUGAGCUUUAACAUCCGUGUUUAUCUUGUCCUUAAACUACCAAACUUACAAACUUUAGUUCUCGAUCUUUUAAGUUUUAUCAAAAUUUUCAUAAUCUAUUAAAUAAAAUAAAUUAAGAAUUAAAGUUGGGAUGAAACACAAAAUCAAAAUUCAAAGACCAAAAAUUAAACACAAACCAGCUACGAGUUUAACAACUAGAUUUAUAGGAGAACCAAAACACAUAAAUUAAAAAAUAUGAAUAAUAGAUUCAUAAACUUUCAUCAUAUCCAAAACCCUAAACCUAAAAUGAGGGAACACAAACUAGACAUGACCAAAACUAUUUUUUCAGAAGUACCAAUAAUAGAUUUGAUCACAUGACCAAACUUAGAGCACAUGUUCUUUCUAAAAUAUAUCCAAAGGGUAGCCCUACCUGCGUGAUUUGUUGAAGUAUACUCUCUUGGGGACCUCAAAUAAUUAAAUUACUUUUUCCAUUGUUUUAUCUUUUGUGUGGAUUUUUUUCUAAAAAAAUUUCACGUGAAGAAAGAAGGCCUUAGCUAAGCUCCAAUAAUUCAACUUGACAUUGUACCCUAUGUAGUAAUCCAAGAUUUCAAAUAAAAUGGCACGUGAAAAGUUAGUUUUUUUUUCUUUCCCAACUUGUGAUUAUAUCAUUUUGGAACCUAUCGUUCUUAGCAUUUAGUGCUAGAUGAAGACUCAUUUGCCGUAUAUUUGAAAGGAGAGGUACGUUGACGCUCCUUGUUUCUCUCAUGUUACAAUCCUCUUUUGUUUGAAACCUAUUUUAAUUCAAUCCACAAACACAAUAAUAGAGGAUUGAUAUCAACCUUUCAUUAUGGAAGAUAGAAAUUUUGAAAUGAAUCUAGCAAAAAAACAUAGAAGUCAAGCACGAUGUUGUGGUAGAUAAUGAUAAGCCAAUGAGAGCAUAGAUGGAAAUACACCUAGGAUGGUAACCCAAUUAGUGAGUGUAGUCACCUAUUUCGAAGAUUAGUGUAUUAGAUAAAGAGUCGAGAGAUUAUCAUUUCAAUGGUAAACUCUCUCUUUAAAAACUAUUGUCACACACAAUAUUUUUUUGGUAGCCUUAAAUGAAAUCUCAUCAAUACAUCAACUACUCAUCUUGAGUUUUCACUUUCACCUUUAACUAAUUCGACAGUACAUGAAGCCAAGUAAUAAUACUUGGUCAGAACAAAAACUCAUAAAUUAUAGACGAAAGCAGGCAGGGAAGCAAUUCAAACUUGACUUUAAAGCACAUGUAACCUGUUAUAUGUAAAGUAGUAAUAGCGGCAAAAUUUUAGGGUUUUAGUGUUUUACACAAUAUAGGUUACUCUAAUACCAUGUCAAACAAUGUAAAUUUUCUAUCUUAUUUCACUUAGAAAGAGGGGAUUUCUUAAAUAUGUUUGGAGAAUAUAAUAAAAUAAAUACAAAAAAAUAUUAAAGAAAAAGGAAACAAUCAAUUAAUUCAUGAUUCAUGGUUGUUUCAAGCAUUACACAAUAAACACUUCAAAACACUAAAAUUAUUAGUAAAUACAAAGAGGUUUAUUCGAAACACGUUAAUUAAUUAAUUAACUUGAGAUUAAAAACUAAAUAGUCGACCCACACCUUUCAUGCAAUUGACAAAAAAGAAUAUUCAUCUAAUUUUUUAGUGUCUGAAUUGAUAACUUUUCUUAAAUUGAAGUUUCAUUAACAGAGAGUUCAUUCUUUAUAUAUAAAAACAUACUUAAAAUUGGUUAUAUAAAAUUUUUAUUCAACAUAUAAUAUGUAAGUGAGGAGAUGGAUUGUUUGAAUUCUCUUAUCUAAUUUUAUACUAUUUACUAACAACUAUUAGAAAGUAAAGGAAAUUUAUUUUCAAACCCCACCAUUACCUUUUAUUACCUUAAGAAAGGACAUAAACAUAUAACCCUCAAAAUUAAACCUUUCACAAAUCUUUUCAUCCUGCACACUUCACCAUGGCAAAAAAAAAGAGAAAGAUAUAAGGAAAAACAUAACAAUGAUAAGUUCACACUAACAAAUUAACUCUAAACAACAUUAAUUUUACUUCCCUACACCCUCAACUCUAAACCCUCCAAAACUAUAAUAUUCCCCAAAACACAAUAUGAAUAUAUACCACUUGGCCCAAAACCACCUCCUAGGGUUUUUUAGUGGCUUCUCAUUCUAUGGUGUUUUAGGGGUUACGUACCUUACCUUCCUGAAAUAUUCACGAGGGUUUUUUUUAUUAGGGGUUUCUCUUUCUAGGGUUUUUAGGGUAAUCGGGGAUAGUUCUUAACCAGCGCGGUACUGCCACAAGCCAAAGCCUUCGGCGGAAUCAUUCCCACCAUAUGAACUCCUUCGGCAAACACAACUCCCAUUCCCAUAUGCAAAUGAGGUUCAAUAUGGCAAUGGAACGCCCAAACACCUGGGUUAUCCGCCACAAAUCGAAUCGCCGUCCACCCAUAUGGGAAAAUCACCACUGUGUUCCUCAACGGUGGAUUUUUCAAAUUCAGUUUCUUCUCAUCCUCGGGGGCGUAAAAUUUCCCCUCUCCAUACCCCAAAACCCAAAAAUCAUGGCCAUGCAAAUGCCAAGGGUGAAUCUCACUCAUAUUGGGGUUUAACAUAUUAGCGUUUUGUAGAAUCACAUCUACCGUUUCCCCCAUAUUGAACUUGUAAACGCCGUUGCCCGUUGUCGUUUCAGGGUUCGGCGGUGGGUUGUUGAUGUCGUAGUUCAAUGGGAAUGUUUCUGGUGGUGGAUUUUGGUUGAAGGCAGUGUUUAGCCUCAUUUUCAUGGCGGCGAGGUACGGCGUUGGAGGGAGAGCUAAAGAGACAUUGUUGAUGGCCCAUUUCAUGAACCCGUUUAUUCGAUUUUGGGUGUUGAGGAGGAAGAGUCGGCGGUUGUAUCUCACCGGUGGCUUUGGACUGCCCAUGGCAGCGAAGAUUCUGAAUGUGAAGUUUUUGCUCCGAUCAAAAUCCUCCCAGUGGGGGGUUUCCGGAGGUGGAGAAAUGGGUAAUUUGGAGGCGGAGUUGGGGAGGUAAUUGAGGAGGGUUAGUCCUGGAGGGGUUUUGGGUAGCCGUGCGCGGACGCCGAUGGAUACCCAGUAAUUUUCCAAUGGGUUUUGGUCGGUGGUAAUGAGGACGGAGUAUGACUCGCCGGAAUAAAUGUCGAUGUCGGAAGUGACAAAUGGUUGAACGUAGUUGCCGUCGGCUUCUACCACUAACAGUUCGUGAUUCUGCAGAAGAAGAGGAGAAAAUAAUUAUUAAAAUUAGUUUUAAAUUCAUGGAUAAACAUUAAUGUUGAAAGUUGAAGAUAUUAUUUAGUGAAAAAUUAAAGUUUAAAAAUCUAAAAUUAAAUGGAAAUGAACAAUUUGAAACUUAUAAACUAAAAAGGAGAUUAGAAUUUUUUGUUCAUAAUUAUUCAAGUUUACUUUUGAUUAUUUUUAUUUUGAUUUUCAAUUACUAGUUUGAAGCAUGAAUAUGAAUUAUUAACAUUCUAACAUGCAAUUAUUCUAAAAAGGACAAAACAAAAAUGAAAUUUUGAUCCAUUUCUUUCACCACUGAAAAAGGCUAAGAUUUUGUUUUGUGUAAUUAUUAUGUGCAUAAUUAGAGAGAGAUGGACCUCAUUUUGUUAUACCUUUGACAAGGAAUUAAAUAAAUCUUCAUACUUAACAUACUAUAGAUUUCAUUUAAGUGUAGAAAGAUUUGUAUUUAGUACUCUACUUUUUUAUUAUUUUUCUCCCUUUCCUUUUUUGUUUAUUAUUAUUAUUAUUAUUACUUUCUUUAUAAUUUUCUUUUAAAAAACUAUUCUAUAUCACCCAACUUUUAUAAAUAUUUACUAAUAUAACAAAUUGAUAUCGAUCUAUCAUCUAACUUAGUCUAUCAUAGUCCAUUUUCCAUAAUAGAUAAAAUAUGAAUUUUGCUAUAUUUUGUAAAUAUUUUGAUUUAUUUUAUUAUCAUCUAAAUUGAAUUUUAAAAUAAUAUUUUAUUAUUUUUUUAAUAGUUUUUGUACCCUAAAUUUAAUAAUAUAUUAUAAAAUCUUGUUUAGAAUUUUGUUUCCUAAAGUAUAAAUGUAGAUCCCCACCACAGUACAUCUAGAUCUCAAACAUUUAUGUGGUAACCUUCAACUUUAACAAUUAUUCCAUAAAACAUCUUCCCCAUUAUUAAAAUAAAUGAUAAAAAAAAUGAGGCAAUAGUUUAGAUAUAAAAUCAAAAGAUGGGAUAAGAUCACAUAUUAUUUUAAUCAAAUUAUACAAAUUUAAUCAUAGUAGUUGGGAUAAUUUUAGGAGUUAGUUCCAUAGUUUAUAAAUUACAUAUAUUAUUCACAACUAUUAGCAUUUAUUUCAUCUAGAAAGAAGCAUUAAAACUAUUUAUAAUGUAAAAUCACCUUGGUACCUCAAGGGUCACAUCAAUAAAUAAGAAUAAGAUAUAGUAAAUAAUAUCACUUAUGCUUUACAAUUUCUUACAUAUUUGUUACUUCUCAAGUGGGUUUAUAUAUGUGUGUGUAUAUAUAUAUAUAACUAAAUAAAAGUAUGAUUAAAAUUCUAUAUUAAUAAAAGUACAUAUAUAGAUAUUUUAAGUUUAAGAGUAACAAUCAACUCUCAAGUAAUAUUUUUAAAACAAAGUGAAGCAUUUAAGUGUUAUAUAUAUAAUUGGAUUAGAAAAAGAAAAGAUAAAAAGUAAUAUGAAUAGGACAAGAAAGAUGGGAGCAAAACAUGUGGGAUACCUAAGAGAAGAGUUGGUCAAUGGGAAUCACAUCAUAUUAUCAAUACCAAUAUGUCCAAAAUGUCAGAAAUGUUAGAUUAGGUUAUCUAUUGUUUGUACUCUCCCAAACACUGCUACAUGUGUUUAAAAGUAAAUUUAAAUAUUAUCUCUUAAAUUGCUAUUUUUAAAUACAAUGAAAUAUUAUUAUAUUAUAAAAUUUUGUUAUAUUUAUAAAUAUUUAUGUAAAAAUUUAUAUAUUAAAGGUGGACGUGGAUUAAAAUAGAAGAGAUUUAAUGUAAAGUUUAAAUAUCAAAACGAAUAUUUUAAAGUAUAAUGUGAUAUAUUAUACUCCAGAAUUCAAACCCUAAUAUUCUUAUAGUCAAUUUUGAAAGGAGGGUAAAGUUGAUAAAAUGGCUUUUGAUUGUUUGGUAGCUAUUAUUCUCACUAGUGAAAGAGAAGUUUGUGUGUUUUGGUUAGUUUCCUCUCUCUCUCACACACACACAUAUAAUAUAUAUUUGCUUUCACUAACUACUCCCACUUUUAGGACUUUAUGAGUCAAAACCUUUGAAAUUAUUGGAAGUAAUUUUCAAACAAAAAGCAACUUUCAUACUUCUAACACCUUUUUAACAUAUGGUUUGAUAAAGCUUAAUUAUUUCUUUUGUACAAUUUGUCAUUGGAUGGAGUUACUUUAUCAUGUUUCUUUUAGAUUCAUUCGUCGUGAUUGAAAUUGAACUACUUAUUAAUUUACUCGUUGAGGCUAUUUGAGUGAUUUUUGGAUGUUUAAUUGUUUAAAUUUGAUGAUUUUCGACUGUAAUAUCGAUUUAGAAAGUUUAUUUGGUCAUUACUAAAGGUUAAAUAUCUUUGAAAACUGCUACAAUUAUUUAAAAUUGAAAGAUUAAAUCAUAGAAAAUACCUCAAAAUUGUCAUUUGUUUAAAAAAAAUUAUACCUUCAAAAGUUUAAUACAUACUAAACGUGGAUGGAAUGAAGGUGCAUCGAACUAUACACCAAAACACACAUCCAAUGCCAAAAGUGAAAAUAUUUCAAAAUUACUACGAAAUAUUUACGAAGGGUUAGAGGUAACACUUGAAGGUUUCAAUAUUACUUCUAACUUUCAUAAAUAUUUUAAAAUUUCCUUCGUGACAUGUUAAUGAUGUGACAGUGACCCGUUUUAUUACAUGAUUUCAAGUUUAAUUUUAUGUAUAAGUUAAUACAAUCACAAUAGUUUUGAAAAGACUAGAUACCUAACUUCAAUAUAAGAUAAUUUUGAGACAUUCAUGCUAACAAUUUUGUUACUAAUUUUUUAAUGUAUUUAGUCUUUAUGUUUUAAUCCUUUACCGUUCGAUAAAAAUUUCAUUAAAUAUAUUCAAUCUAAUUUAAAGAUUUUAUCGAAUCAUAAAAACUAAAUUCUACUUUUUUUACGUGAUACGACUAAAUUUGUGACUUAAACCAAAAUGAAAGAUAAAAAGAAGCAAGACUUACUCCAAUGGCAAAGUUGAGGGAAGCCAAGGCAGUGGUACUAGCAAUUCUUAUCCGAUAAGUUUUCUUGGGUUGAACAUGUAGGAUAAAUGGUGCACAUUUUUCUUUUCCACUCAACUCACAUUGCUUCAAACCUUGGUUGUAUUUGGCUGCUAUUGAACAGUCAAAUUGCCCUUUCCC